This 219-nucleotide unclassified non-coding RNA is filed under the name Echinops sphaerocephalus subsp. sphaerocephalus. RNAcentral describes it as "internal transcriber spacer 2". Lineage: Eukaryota; Viridiplantae; Streptophyta; Magnoliopsida; Asterales; Asteraceae. The record is from RNAcentral.
GCAUCGCAUCGCCCCUCACCAUCAUCCUAUGGACAAGUGGUGUAGGGAGCGGAUAUUGGUCUCCCGUGCCCAUGGUGUGGUUGAUCUAAAUAGGAGUCCUCCUUCGGUGGAUGCACGGCUAGUGGUGGUUGUAUAAUCUCGUAUCGAGCCGUGUGUUGUGAGCCGCAAGCGAGUUUCUCUUCAAAGACCCCUUAGUGUCGUCUUGCGACGAUGCUUCGA